RNAcentral lists this ribosomal RNA (577 nucleotides) under uncultured bacterium. RNAcentral's name for it is "partial 16S ribosomal RNA". It matches the Rfam family "Bacterial small subunit ribosomal RNA", at positions 355 to 937 of the family's 1533-position model. The record is from RNAcentral.
UGAGGAAUAUUGGUCAAUGGGCGAGAGCCUGAACCAGCCAAAUCGCGUGAAGGAAGACUGCCUUAUGGGUUGUAAACUUCUUUUAUACAGGAAUAAAAAAGGGGACGUGUCCCUUAUUGCAUGUACUGUAUGAAUAAGCAUCGGCUAACUCCGUGCCAGCAGCCGCGGUAAUACGGAGGAUGCGAGCGUUAUCCGGAUUUAUUGGGUUUAAAGGGUGCGCAGGCGGGCUUUUAAGUCAGCGGUGAAAUCUCGGGGCUUAACUCCGAAACUGCCGUUGAAACUGGGAGUCUUGAGUAUGGAUGAAGUAGGCGGAAUUCGUUGUGUAGCGGUGACAUGCUUAGAUAUAACGAGGAACUCCGAUUGCGUAGGCAGCUUACUAAGCCAUAACUGACGCUCAAGCACGAAAGCGUGGGGAUCAAACAGGAUUAGAUACCCUGGUAGUCCACGCCGUAAACGAUGAUUACUAGUUGUAUGCGAUAUACCGUAUGUGACUAAGCGAAAGCGAUAAGUAAUCCACCUGGGGAGUACGCCGGCAACGGUGAAACUCAAAGGAAUUGACGGGGUCAUAGCGUUUCCU